UACGUAGGGUCCGAGCGUUAAUCGGAAUUACUGGGCGUAAAGCGUGCGCAGGCGGUUUUGUAAGCCAGAUGUGAAAUCCCCGGGCUUAACUUGGGAACUGCAUUUGGGACUGCAAGGCUGGAGUACGGCAGAGGGAGGUGGAAUUCCACGUGUAGCAGUGAAAUGCGUAGAGAUGUGGAGGAACACCGAUGGCGAAGGCAGCCUCCUGGGCUAGUACUGACGCUCAUGCACGAAAGCGUGGGGAGCAAAC
RNAcentral lists this ribosomal RNA (250 nucleotides) under uncultured bacterium. RNAcentral describes it as "partial 16S ribosomal RNA". It matches the Rfam family "Bacterial small subunit ribosomal RNA", at positions 524 to 773 of the family's 1533-position model. The record is from RNAcentral.